GACACCGCUGUAACGAAACAGACAUUAACCGCUCACAACUUAUUGACUUUAUAGUAUUAUUAUUUAAGGGAACUGAGAAGCAGAAAGAAAUAUAGAAAAGCAAAAAAAAUGUUUAAUGGCAAAAAUGAAUAAGAAACUAAUUUGAUUAAUUGUAACUAAAAUGAGUACAGUUAUGGAGUAAUGAAGUGUGAUAGUCAUGAGCUAUUGAUGAACGUUUCGUUAUAGUAUUUAGAAUAUAGUAAUGAAAACACUAAACCAAAUUGAUAUUACAAACUACUAUUGGAUGAUUCAUAUGUUGGUAUGGUACCCAUAUAAAUAAGAUGCAUAGGGAUAACCGGGUCAUUUUGAGUAUUUUAGGUUCAGUCCAUGCUACAUUUUCAUGCCAAGUUAUAUACACCGUGGGCCAAUUAAACCCGACAAAUUUUAACCACGCAUUCCUGAGGUCAUAAGGAGCAAAAAAUGAUAUAUGAGUUUUGACCAAAUUCGCCAAAAAAAAAAUUAUUUUUUGUCGUAAAAAAAAAUUCCUUUUGCGUUUUCUGCAAACGACACGUUAUUUAUUUUUACACCUUGGUGAAAAAAAAAAACAUUACAACGAAUAAGUAAAGGUUUUUUUUUCUUUUACAGACGAAAAUUGCGAGUUUACUUUGAAACUUUAAUAUCUGUCAGUAGGUAUGUCUAAACCAAGUCACAUAGUGGCAGCGUCACAGCUAAAAAGGCGUUUUUGACUAAGUUAUAGAAGAAACAAAUUUUCACAGAAAUUGUCAUUAUCUCUAAAAAAAGACCGAUUUCAGAAAACAUUGUAUGACAUUUUAGUCUCUAAAUGCGGUCAAGAAUACACCUUUGAAAUAUGUCGGGUUUUUAUUGGCUGACGGUGUAUAGGUACCUAUGCACAACUUAGUGCAUACUUAAAGCACUAAUAGACGUCCCGUAUUAUCAACAAUUCUUCAAACUACAGUUUGUUAGGAGAGAUGUUGUAUCACAUUCUACUUUUGUCCCUCGGACAAUGGGACAUAACAAAACACAAACAAGUCGAUUAUUUUAAGUUUGUUUAUAGUUUAUUGUUAUCAAAACUUUGUUAUAACAAGUAAAUCAAUCACGUAGUUGUUAUAAACUUGGUCCAACUAAAUAUUUGUGAUUUUAGUGAGGUUUAAAUGGCAAUGUAACGUAAAUUGCAGGCAAGAUUUUGCUAGUCUACACCUCGCUUUAAAAAAUGCCUUGUGAAGUUAUCCCCAUGCAGUGUUGAUAAUUACUCAAGUAAGUAGUAAAAGAAAGUCAUAGGCAAGGGGAAAGCCAAACUAUUAUCAUCAUAAUUAUGUCAUACAUGCAUACACAUAUUUUAUCCACCACCAACAAUAUUGUUUAAAAUCAAAAUGUAUCAUCUAUUACAUAGCUACACAACAACAACAACUAAAGAGGUUGCGGCUCCUAAAACUAGUGCGAUAAGGACAACGCCAGAUUAGGCGAGAAAUCCUGUUUAAAAAUAUCAAUAAACGAUGUUUCGUAUUCUACUGUUUCCUCCUUCAAAACUUAACCAAAUGUAACAAAUUUUGAGAUCUAAAUGAUAAUGAAAUUAUCUGUGUCGGACUUUUUUUGCUUUUUAGGCUAUUUGAUUUCAGUUUUGAAUACCACGCUUUUCUUUGCGGCCUAGUAAAUUAGGCAGUUUAUGCGAAUAUUUGAAGUGCACUAGCGCCAUAAGAAACAAAAAUAUCAAAAAAAGCAAAACUGUCCGUCACAGAUAUUAAUAAUAACAUAUGUAAUUAAUAACGUCUAAGUCCAGCCUUGGGCGUUGCAGCUCAAGGAAUUAUUAUCGAUAAACUGGUUACCAUUGUAUUGAUGGCCACAUGUAUACCAAAUUGAACUUAAAGUGUAGGUAAUUAGGAUCGUUCUGUUUUUAAUAUGUAUUUGUAUUAAGUACUUAUUCUCUAAAAUGAACUUGUUCUGUAUUUUAAGUAUAAGUCUCUGGACUUUUAUAGUGCUACCAGGCUGACGCAACUAGGAACAAAAUAAGUUUUGUAUGGAACUUGUUUCGCAAAUCUUUGCCAACGAAGAAAAAUAAAACGUCAGUGCUAUUUAUUCUGUCAAGUUUACAUCAAGUCAACUGUCAGCCUAAUUGUUUUGUUUGUUAUGAAGCCUUCAAUGUUUUGUUCGGGUAUAUCGUGCAAUUUCUUUAUUAUUUAGUGAAAAUAUCGAAAAUAGUGAACCGUGAUCAGAGUAAAAAGCGACUUUGUUACGAUGCCACCGAGAAAACGGUUUACUAAGUGUGAAAUAUGUGGCAAGCGAGCCUCUCGAGAAAAUCACGAAAAAAGGAAUUUUAUGGCGAAAUUUCCCUUGGAUAAAGACCGAUGCAGGCAGUGGGUCAAAUUUGUUGGGAACGAAGACCUGACGAUACAUCUUCCCAUAGAAAAGUUACAUUUAUUGAAACAUGUAUGUGCAGAACAUUUUGAAAAUAAAGCUUUAAAUAAAACAA
Cydia pomonella (codling moth) is the source of this 2467-nucleotide long non-coding RNA. RefSeq lists it as uncharacterized. The transcript is spliced from 2 exons. NCBI's taxonomy places the organism in Eukaryota, Metazoa, Arthropoda, Insecta, Lepidoptera, Tortricidae. The record is from RefSeq and is a predicted model, not a curated record.